AAAAUACAGGAUUGGGGGAGACUUAAUUGUGGUUCUCAUCAGGAGCUUAGAGGCUCAGAUGGAUCCACCAAGAACUGAAUAAACUGAAUCUCUGAAGAUUUCUUUCUGGGGUUAACGCGCUUUGCUGCCUAAUUUAAAGCCAGCCGUAUUUAGUUGUGUAAAAGAACAACAAGUGUCAUUCCCCUAUGCCCUGUUUUAUACCUGUCAUGACUGCUGGAGUAUCCAGCCUUU
Non-coding RNA from Pseudonaja textilis, 231 nucleotides. The record is from RefSeq and is a predicted model, not a curated record. NCBI's taxonomy places the organism in Eukaryota, Metazoa, Chordata, Lepidosauria, Squamata, Elapidae.